Gallus gallus (chicken) is the source of this 646-nucleotide long non-coding RNA. Lineage: Eukaryota; Metazoa; Chordata; Aves; Galliformes; Phasianidae. The record is from Ensembl.
GUAGGAGGAGCAGGUUAAAGCAAACCGUAAAGCUGCUAGUGUACCUCACUUUGCAGUUUACCCACUAGCUCGAGGGAAAUUUCAUCCCUUUGGAGAAUAUGCAUUGUAUGUUGAGCUCGUAGCAUAGAGUAUUCUUUUGCUCUCAUUUCCUAUAAACCACCUACUGCAUUUUUAUGUUCCACAAUCACAUACACCAAAACAGUGUUAAGCAAAUUAGCAUCAAGCUAAAUAAAAGGCAUAUCAACCAACUUAGCAGGCAGCUUUUAGGUGCUUCAGUACCGAGGAUGGUGGGUGAUCCAUAGGUUAAGAUAACUCUAUUUCCCCCAUAUUAUCAUUAUUUGCUUUUAGUAUAAUUGGAUGAAUUUAACAGGAAAAUUAAUUCAUUUUCACAGGUUUUGUCAGUAGCCCUGAUUACUGCAAUGUGAAGGAGAGCUGAUGGAGAAAGGCACUGAUUCAGCACAUCUCCUAGGGCAGCCUACAUGAAUGGAUAUGUGUAGAAAUCCUGUAAUGUGACAGAACUGACCUUCUUCUCUAUUCCUUUGUGAGGUCAGAUUGCUGAGCCUUGUGGAGACCUUCAUGUACGGGACGCUCACUAAAGCCUCUUUUUGUCUGGGGGACAAUUAACAAAAGGGCUGGUGAAGCUUUU